Cajanus cajan (pigeon pea) is the source of this 539-nucleotide non-coding RNA. Lineage: Eukaryota; Viridiplantae; Streptophyta; Magnoliopsida; Fabales; Fabaceae. The record is from RefSeq and is a predicted model, not a curated record.
CGCACUGCAUAGAAAUCCACCGCGUAGAGAAACUCAUUCCUCCGUCACCUCUUAAGAUCGUUCCUCCGUCACCUCUUAGAUCGCAUCGCACCAGUGACUUGCUCAAGUCAAGGAAUGUUUUGAAUGAGCAUGCAAUUGAUAAUCCAAAGGAGAUUGAUUCUACAAUUAAUGAGUAGUAUUUCUCUCAUGCAGUUUCUCAUUCUCUUUUUUCUUUUUCUUUUUUUCGAAAUCAUUCUACAGUUGAAAAAUUGUGUGCGCUCUAUAAAGGUACAUGUACUGCAGUUUGCUUAUGUGCAUGUAUGUUCGAUUGUCAUAUUUGUGGUUUAUAGAUUAAGCCUCUAGUGGAACCAACGAAGCAUAUUAUAAAAGAGACUAGAAUAAAGUACUCUUGGCAUGAUUUUGUCUCUAAAAGAACUAACAUGGACUGGAAUUAGACUGGAAGAGUUUCAGCCAUCUUGCUUUGAGAAGGUUAUUGUCAUUGCUCAUUUUUUUUUUUUGCUUAGUUUUUAUUAUGAUGAUAAUAGGUUUAAACUUAAAGA